GACGAACGCUGGCGGCGUGCUUAACACAUGCAAGUCGAGCAGUAAAGCUCCUUCGGGAGUACACGAGCAGCGAACGAAUAAGUAACACGUGAGCAAUCUGCCCAUCACAUCAGGAUAACUCCAGGAAACCGAAGCUAAUACCGAAUACGACCACUUCAAACAUCUGACGGUGGUGGAAAGUUCUGGCAAUGAUAGAUAAGCUCGCGGCCUAUCAGCUAGUUGGUGAGAUAAUGGCCUACCAAGGCUUCGACAAAUAGCCGGCCUGAGAGAAUGACCGGCCACACUGAGACUGAGACACAGCCCAGACUCCUACAAAAAGCAGCAGUAAGGAAUAUUGAACAAUGGACGAAAGCCUGAUCCAGCAACGCCGCGUGAAGGAUGACGGCCUUCGGGUUGUAAACCUCUUUCAGCAAAGACGAAGCGAAAGUGACAGUACCUGCAGAAGAAGCACCGGCCAACUACAUGCCAGCAGCCGCAGUAAAAC
This 484-nucleotide ribosomal RNA is filed under the name uncultured bacterium. RNAcentral's name for it is "bacterial SSU rRNA". It matches the Rfam family "Bacterial small subunit ribosomal RNA", at positions 28 to 526 of the family's 1533-position model. The record is from RNAcentral.